AGGACGAACGCUGGCGGCGUGCUUAACACAUGCAAGUCGAGCGGAAAGGCCAUUUCGGUGGUACUCGAGCGGCGAACGGGUGAGUAACACGUGAGUAAUCUGCCCCUGGCUUUGGGAUAGCCACCGGAAACGGUGAUUAAUACCGGAUACGACCCGCCCUCGCAUGGGGGUGUGUGGAAAGUUUUUCGGCCAGGGAUGUGCUCGCGGCCUAUCAGCUUGAUGGUGGGGUAAUGGCUCACCAUGGCUUCGACGGGUAGCCGGCCUGAGAGGGUGACCGGUCACACUGGGACUGAGACACGGCCCAGACUCCUACGGGAGGCAGCAGUGGGGAAUAUUGGACAAUGGGCGAAGCCUGAUCCAGCAACGCCGCGUGAGGGAUGACGGCCUUCGGGUUGUAAACCUCUUUCAGUACCGACGAAGCGGAAGUGACGUAGGUACAGAAGAGCACCGGCAACUACGUGCCAGCAGCCGC
This 472-nucleotide ribosomal RNA is filed under the name uncultured soil bacterium. Its description in RNAcentral is "bacterial SSU rRNA". It matches the Rfam family "Bacterial small subunit ribosomal RNA", at positions 26 to 518 of the family's 1533-position model. The record is from RNAcentral.